RNAcentral lists this transfer RNA (73 nucleotides) under Stegodyphus mimosarum. It matches the Rfam family "tRNA". From Rfam's summary of the family: Transfer RNA (tRNA) molecules are approximately 80 nucleotides in length. Lineage: Eukaryota; Metazoa; Arthropoda; Arachnida; Araneae; Eresidae. The record is from Rfam by way of RNAcentral.
GCCUUCGUGGUGUAGUGGUCAGCACACUUGUCGCAUAUUCUAGAUGUUCUUGGUUCGAGUCCCAGUGAGGGCA